AUAACCACCACCACUACUACUACUACUACUACUACUAUAACCAUUUUUUUUUCUUUUUUUUUUUACUACUACAUAAAUGAUACCUCCACCCAUGUUUAUUUUCCCGACACAUAAUCAUGGAGGGCUCCAUAGCUUGGAGGUCGUUAGCCCCAACUCAGUUCGCUAAUGACUGUGGCAUCCAACCAUAUUACUAAUACUACCUAGCACUAAAUCACCUAUCAUCUAUUACCUUUCCUUCCCUACUCAGUCACUCCCGACCUACCCUAAUGUCACUCUCCACCACUGUGGCUUCAUAGUCCAUAUUGGAGAUGUUGGUGGCUUUUACUACUACUACUACUACUACUACUACUACUACUACUACUACAACUACCACUUCUACUACUACUACUACUACUACUACUACUACUAUGACUACGACUACAAACCCAGACAUUAGGCAUCUAUAUAACUCUUAAUCAGAUAUACUCGUCUAUUAUUUACGAGCCUUCAACAGUUUAAGUAGGUAUUUAACAUUGUUUUUGAGUUCUGCCCUGAUAGCAUAAGCCCUUCAUAACCGGAUCUAAGCCUGCUAGCUCUUAUCGCACGUUCGAUAACACCAGUACCGAGAAAUGUGAUUAGUUUCUGAGUUCACUCCUAUGUAUUCCUCGUUCUGUCAUUCCUCUAUCCUCUGAGCCCUCGUCCACCCCCCUUCUCCUCCUCAUCAUCAUCAUCUAUCCCCUCAAUCCUUAUACGCCGCUUCUCCUCCUCUUCGUCCCCAUUGCUUUGAUCUUUGCUGCUACUACUACUACAACUACUACCACUUCUACUACUACUACUACUACUACUUCUACUACUACUACUACUUCUACUACUACUACAACUACUACUAUUACCACUACUACUACUGCUACACUAUAAAUAGUAAUGUUAAGGGUCAUACAACAAAGAACCCACAAUUGAUUAAUAGACCCCGACACGUGAGUUAUAGUUGUCUCUCUCUGAAUGAAUUCUCUUGCUUUUGCCAUAUUCUGAUGUGCGGGUUAAAUGACGAGUUAAUUGUUCAACAGUGCUUUAUUGCUCUUGAUGUAAUGUAGUGACUCAACAAUGAUUUAUUGCUCUUUGAUGUAACACGUAGUGACUUUCGUAUUCCUGCUUCUGUGAUUCUGAUGGUGUGUUCGUGUCAACAGGUUUUGACCGAAAAUGUAUUAAUCGAGUCGACGUGAAGGGUCUUCUUACUUACCACCUUACCGCCCCCACGGGCUCGCGGGGCUGAUGGCGGUAAGUCAAAACGUGGAUAUAUAAAACAGUGGUUCCCAACCUUUUUUUCAGGCGACCCCAAUUAUGCACCCCUAGACAUGUCCGUGACCCCUCUAGUUUAGUUGUAUAUGUGUUAUUAUAAUAUAAUAACACCAUGUUUGAUAUUUUGAAGUCUUGGCGACCCCAGGAAAAACGAUUGGUGAGCCCAUAAAGGCUCGAGACCCCAGGGUUGGGAAAGGGGCAACGCGAAGAGACGGUGCGGGCCCAGGACACAGGGCGAGGAUGAGGCGGACGGCGGACGCGUUGACGAGAAACAUCGGUGUUUGAUAGGUGUUGAUGGGGAUGCGAGUGUUCGGUGAUGUGACAAGUGUAACGACAAAAAACACAGGUGUUUGAUAGGUGUUGAUGGUAAUGCGCGUGAUUGGUGAUCGUGACGAUUUGAUGACGAGUUGAUGAGUGUAAAGAAAUACAUGUAUUAAUAGGUGUUGAUGGUAAUGCGGGUGUUUGGUGGUGGUGAUGUGACAAGUGUAACGGCAAGACACAAUACUGUGGUGUGUGGUAGGCGUUGAUGGAAUGCGAGUGAUUGGUGAUCGUGACAAGCGAUAAGUCUACGGAACGCCCAUGUCACGGUAAGCAGUAACAACACAGAUCAAGAUCCAAGGUCAAGAGAGUGCUAUCGUUUGCAGGCUGUCGGUGGAGACCGUACACAUGCACAGCUGUGAAGGUUUACCAAGAAACAAGAAAUAGAGUUAUCAUACUAGUGCCAAGAGGGAUUGCAAAGUAUAUUGUAAAGGGCAACGCCAGCACAUCGGACGACAAUUUAACGACGAUCGAGUGUGGCACGUGUGAGGUGUUUGACUAUGGAUAAUUCUUCUAAUGGGUAACCAUAAGAAAUAUAUGAAAAGAACCUCCAUUUUUGUUUUAUUUCAUGAUGACUAACAUUUGUUAUUUCCCAAUCCACUGAAAAAGUAGUUUGCAAGGAAACACAUAUCAUACAUGCCCCGCCACACAAUAAGCUAGGGGACCCGGGGCAAUACCUAAAUGAGUGUUACCUCAUGUAAUAAUCUGAUCAGUCUUGCCUGCAAUAUUUACCUCUGACAAAAUGAGCACUGCAGAGUCGAGAUGAAGCAGACGGCCGCCAGUUUUCCCUCCUCACAGCUGCAAUCCACUUCCCCCGCUCUUCUGGAUUCGCUGGAAAUCUAUAAAAUGACACAGCAUCUCUCCCGUGUCGGUUAGAACAUCCAACCGCACAGCAUACGUAUCCCAUGACGAACACACAGAGCACUUGUUUAGCCGCCACCAAGGUUUGCUUUGAUAAGUGACCACCGCCACUGACCACCAAGAUGGCCGUGCAGGCCCGCGCUACCCCCGCACCCCCACUGAUGACGUCAGCUGCAAAACUUCUAUAGACGAUGUAACAGUCAAAUAACGCGGAAAAUAAUUGUUUUGUGCGAAAUAUUGAGACUAGGUAACGAGUAUUUUUUUUCAUAAACCAAUAAAAAGCUAGUAGCUAGGGCAUAGAAAAAAUCAAUAAAUUAAUAACUUCGUAAUGAAGUGUUUUACCACGUGCUACUGCCACUCAGCGAGCGUUAAUGCAGAUUUGUUUUUACACAUAUGCCUCGGCCCUUGGGAAUUUUAAGAUGGCGGCUGCGGGGUUCAAGAUUUGCACGGAGUCAACCAAUCCAGUAUAUUAGAGAUCAGUGGUUCAACUCCAAUCUCUCGCCACGGUGAGAGGUGAAGCCACUGUUCCUGCCUGUAAACUCUGUGGUCGGCCGCCAUAAGGUGACGGAUUGGCGACCUUUCCAUGAUUCCACAUGUUUACACUUAAUCACUAUUAGCUAGCCACCAUUAUGAUAUUUUAGAAAACUGAACCGAUCAUCGUGUUGAUGAGACAUUGCUGCAUAUCAUGAUCACAAAUUUAUUGCACUUAAUUAUACCUACAAUAAAAUAAUGAGAAAAAAAUAUGGUAGUGUAUAAACAUUUUUGUUCACCAUUUUUGCUUCAACUCCUUGUCAUUAAUGUACUUUUAUUGUAUUAGAUUUUCGUUUAGUUUCAAAUGCAGCACAUUUUUUUUCCGAUUCAGAUGGUGUAUGACAUGUACCAAAGUAACAAUAAUCAGGGGGUAAAAAAUGAACAAGAAAAUAACAAGUCUAUCUGACAGAGGAUCGCCGAGGCGCUGGUAACUUGUACCAGACAUAACUAUUUGAUGUUAAAUUUAUGUCUCGCCAUCAGUCACCUUAAGAUGGCCGCCAGUUACUUCUAAAUCCAGGCUCUAGGAACCAUCUAUAUCUAUAGCUCUGUGGUCCAGACACUCACACCGCUUCCUCCUAGUUUUUGGCUUAAUAAUAGGUGACUAGCUAAAGGUUUGUACAGAAUUUAAAUAUAAAAUACUAUUCUGGUAUUAUUGUCUCAACGUAGUAGAACUUAAUUUAUGGUUUAUAAAUGUCUGUCAGUCCAAUGGCAAAUUUAAUCAGCAUCGGAUUAACCUAAAAGCUUACCUCAAUUAUGAUUCAACUUGCUCUGCCCGGUAAUUAAUAGCUAUUCGCUACUGCUAUGUGGGAUGUCAAAAAUUCUUACAGAAUUAAAAAAUUAUCCCAAACGGAAAAAAAACUUGUAUACCACAGCAGCUAGGCUUCUGAACACAACUGUCUGAACGUUUGUCAGCCGUUGUAUUACAUUUAUUGUCGAUCCCCGGGCCAAGCCACAAGGCUCAAGAGAGUCUAAAGACUAUAGACCGAUCUCAAAAUUUCACUGAAUAUAUUUUUGAUACACUAACCUCCUGGAACUGUUAAAAUUACUUGAUCGGUAAAUAACACGUGAUGAAGACAAUAAAAGCUUUUUUAUUAAUCUAUUGCUGUAAUGCAAAGGUAACAUGCAUCUUACAGUUAAGCUAAAAUAAGCAAUUCAAAUAUUAAGUGUAAAUUAAGAAGUGCUAGAACUGGAAUGAUAUAUCUAUGCAACCAUACAUAUCAUGAAGUGCACACAAGCAAUUCCUUUCUCAUACCAAGCUCAUUCCAUUUUGAGUUGACAGAGGUUAGGCCACACCUCUCCGGAGUCCUGAAUCUGCACAGUGCCUGCUAGAGUCAGCACAGCAAGCGUAGUUAUGUAUUUCUAGGGAGUGUCUUAUAUAGUUAAUAUCCUCUGCUUUGCUCUUAUCUUGUUAGCUCCUGGCUCAGGACUUUGAAGGGUUCUUGUUACCCGCAGUGCAGCAAUAAAAUAUGGGGAAGGAAUUUUCUGUGUUCUUCAACUCUUAAGUGCUGACUGGUAGCCGUGAUGUUCAGUCAAAACUACUUUAGAAGCCUGAUUCACAUAGAUUUACGCAGACACACAGACACUCAGACCCCAUGGUCCAGAGAGGGUUGUCUGUCCUUCAGUCUAAGUGAAAUCCUACUAAUGCCAUGAAGACUUUGCAUUUCGGCUUAAGAGAAUAUAAAGUUGAGGGAAGUUAAACUUGCUGCACAUUUUCUGUAUGAAUUAUGAUGCUUCAGAUUUUUUACUUUCAGGUAGUUUAAACUAAUUAAGGAAAAGGUUUGGCCCUCUCAAUAAACUCAAAUUUAAAUUAGCUUGUUGCAGAUAACAUUUAAAUAUAAAUUAGGGUUAUUAUUUUAAAGAAAUUUUGAUUAAUGAGUUUGGCUUGCUAAACUGAUUCAGAAUCAAAUGAUCAUAAUGCAAAUGGCACUUUUCUGUAUAAAUUGUAUUUAAAUCACUUUUUACUUUCGUAUAAUUCUGAUCAAUGAAACUCUGGCCCUUUCAAUAACACUCAGAAUGCAAUGAGCAAGUUGCAGAUGACACACACUGAUUCCAUUCAGCUCUUGCACAACAGUCACCACAAACUGAUGCUGGUGGUCAGCGCCUCAGCAUGAUAGCUCCCUCCCGGCCCAAAGUUGGGGUUUUGUGAGAAGGGUUUUCAAGUGUAGCCAUUGUCAUAAAUUAACCCUAAAGUGUACACAAAUACAAUAUAGAAUUUUACUUUCCUAAACGUUUUAUAACAGCAUAUAGCCAAACACACCCCUGCAGGGUGCAUUUGUGGUCAUUAGUGAUGAAAAUAAUAGGAGAGAGAAGUCAUCAGAGUAUGGACAGACGAGUCGCUCUGACAAACUGUCUACAUCAUAAUUCUUGCAUCUUAAGGGGUUGCCAUAUAUUUUUCCCCCACUUUUUUUUUGCAUUCUGUUGAUAAAAAUUCUUUACAUUCAUUUAAUUGUCACAAAAGUUUGGAGUGACUAUUUUAUAUUUUUUAAGAAGUGAAAAAUCUUCAUAAACUGAGGUGAAGAUGUCAACAGUUGCAAACUGCAUGACUUCAUGGGAGGUUCAUGUUAAGACCUCAGCUAACCAUCUGAGCACAGCAUCCUAUCCCAGCAGCACUGACCCUAACUAAGAGAAAAACACUGGUUAAGUUUUACACAUUAUAACUUCAACAGACUACAUCACAGAGCCUAAGGUGUAGGGUAUUCAGUACCACUACAGAAGCUGAUCUGCUUCCCCAACACAAGGAAGGGAGGAAGCCAAAGCAAGGAACUGUUUACAUUUACACCAACACAGAGCUGAAUUGACGGUUCUGUUUCUGUGCUCUCUAGUAAAGGUUCAGAAAUCCAUUAGUUCAAUCAUAACUAGAGCUAGUAGGUCUAGCUGACCUUCCUGUCACUGCAACAGGUGCCAAGCUUCAGUGCUCAGACACCCGAGGAGAGUCUCCACAUCCUCCCGGGCCGUAACGUGGCACUGCCUCACCACAAGCCCGGCACGCUGCACCCACGACAGCAGUACAGGCAAGGCUGGCACGAUGCAGCCAAUGCUGCCACCAGGAAUAAGCCAACAGAGCCACACACCAGUGGUCUCAGAAGGGUGCCUUCCUGCUGUCUGGGGGAGGAGGGGGCACGAAAUCUUUGCCUUUAACUAAUGUCACCGAACACACAAGGCAGCGAGCAAUGUUAUUAAAUAACUUCAAGGGCAGCAGAACACUGAAAAUACAGACUCAAGACAGGCCAUCAAUGCCUGACACAUCUGCUCCAAGGAAGAAUGUGACUUGCACCUCAUAUAGAGGGUAGAGGGACAGCCACUGCUGCCCACAACACAAUUCUUUGAACUCCAUCUUAUGGAGUUCAAAGAACUGGGUGAGACUGAUCUACUUAUCACAAAAUCAGUUGAUAAGUUAGAAAUAAUCCUUAAAUUCUAGGAUUAUUUAGCCUCUGUUCCAAGAUUGCCACACAAAAUUCAGGCCACUGAACUGUAGAGUGGUCAAUGCCUUGCACACACACUGUUCCUGGGCAGUGGUGUGGCACAGGCAUGGCAUGGCCACAAUGCUCUACUUUGCAACAUGACAUUUUUAUACUGUUUUCCACUGAAAAGUGUUUAGAGGUGGUGGGCUUAGCUUGAAGACGACUCAGGGAGGCAAGGCACAAGUGCUCAAAGAACAGCCACUGACUCUGUAAGUGAUGUGUCACUUUGAACCACUUCUACCAUGACCAAAAUUAAUUAAUGUUUGUCCCCCUGGUAACUGCCUGCCUUCCAGUUCUUCACCGCCCACCUCGGUGCUUUUUGCUGCUCACUUCUGGAAAGCAUCAGUGUCUUGGAGCAGCAAGCAACCCACCUCUUCUACAUGUACGUAUAUAACAUAAUAGCAAAAUCAGGGCUUCAAGCUUGAGUCAAACCUUAUUCAAACACUCAUGAAGGAAUCUUAUCUGAUGUCAUUUUUCAUGGAUAUAUUAUUCACUGGUAUUACAUCAUAUGAAGAUUUUGCCUAGUUGAAUUUUCAUCUUUCAAAUUGCAACAGCAUGUUGCACUGAACAACACACAACUUCAGUCUUACGAGGAGUGCUGGAUGCAGAGCUCGACACUGCCUGGAGAUGUCAAGCCUUGGCAGUGGAGGUUGUUUACCUUCCUCAUGGUGUCUCGUUUGAAUAAUGUCAUGUCACAGUCUUUCCACCCAACGCGUUAGAACGUAAAGCAAGUUGAUGACGGAGUUUAACACAUGAUGACAUUUCAACAAUAAAACAUAAUGCAUCAGAAACAGCUCCCACUAGCCAAACAGCAUUCAGGAGUACUGUGGUUUGCCAGGGAGGCAGAGGUGAAGUGGUUCCUUGUUUCAGCCUUUCUGUUGACUCAUUGUUUGCUAAUAGUUAUACACACGAGACUGUGGGACCUGAGGGUACAAGCUGUCAUGAUUCCUGGUCUUUUGUGGCUGGAUGAUGAGUCUCCUGAGCAAGUGGGUUCCUCAGGGUGUUUGGUGUUAUCAGAUGGGUCAGGAGAGGCUUUCUUGUGCUUUAAGUGUGUGUGUGUGUGUGUGUGUGUGUGUGUGUGUGUGUGUGUGUGUGUGUGUGUGUGUGUGUGUGUGUGUGUGUGUGUGUGUGUGCUCUCA
Long non-coding RNA from Eriocheir sinensis (Chinese mitten crab), 7588 nucleotides. RefSeq lists it as uncharacterized. The transcript has 2 exons. The record is from RefSeq and is a predicted model, not a curated record. NCBI's taxonomy places the organism in Eukaryota, Metazoa, Arthropoda, Malacostraca, Decapoda, Varunidae.